CUGCCAGUAGUCAUAUGCUUGUCUCAAAGAUUAAGCCAUGCAUGUCUCAGUACAAGCCAAAUUAAGGUGAAACCGCGAAAGGCUCAUUAAAUCAGUUAUGGUUCCUUAGAUCGUACCCACAAUUACUUGGAUAACUGUGGUAAUUCUAGAGCUAAUACAUGCAAACAGAGCUCCGACCGGAGACGGAAGGAGUGCUUUUAUUAGAUCAAAACCAAUCGGUGGCGAGUUCGCUCGUCAUCGUACAACUUGGUGACUCUGAAUAACUUUACGCUGAUCGCACGGUCUCGCACCGGCGACGCAUCUUUCAAAUGUCUGCCUUAUCAACUGUCGAUGGUAGGUUCUGCGCCUACCAUGGUUGUAACGGGUAACGGGGAAUCAGGGUUCGAUUCCGGAGAGGGAGCCUGAGAAACGGCUACCACAUCCAAGGAAGGCAGCAGGCGCGCAAAUUACCCACUCCCGGCACGGGGAGGUAGUGACGAAAAAUAACGAUACGGGACUCAUCCGAGGCCCCGUAAUCGGAAUGAGUACACUCUAAACCCUUUAACGAGGAUCAAUUGGAGGGCAAGUCUGGUGCCAGCAGCCGCGGUAAUUCC
RNAcentral lists this ribosomal RNA (593 nucleotides) under Eupholus geoffroyi. Its description in RNAcentral is "SSU rRNA". It matches the Rfam family "Eukaryotic small subunit ribosomal RNA", at positions 14 to 586 of the family's 1831-position model. Lineage: Eukaryota; Metazoa; Arthropoda; Insecta; Coleoptera; Curculionidae. The record is from RNAcentral.